ACGGAAGGCAGCAGUGGGGAAUAUUGGGCAAUGGGCGAAAGCCUGACCCAGCAACGCCGCGUGAGGGAAGAAGGUCUUCGGAUUGUAAACUUCUUUUAUGAGGGACGAAGGAAGUGACGGUACCUCAUGAAUAAGCCUCGGCUAACUACGUGCCAGCAGCCGCGGUAAUACGCGGGUGGCAAGCGUUAUCCGGAUUUACUGGGUGUAAAGGGCGCGUAGGCGGGGAUGCAAGUCAGAUGUGAAAUCUAUGGGCUUAACGCAUAAACUGCAUUUGAAACUGUAUGUCUUGAGUGAUGGAGAGGUAGAUGGAAUUCCUUGUGUAGCGGUGAAAUGCGUAGAUAUAAGGAAGAACACGAGUGGCGAAGGCGAUCUACUGGACAGUAACUGACGCUGAGGCGCGAAAGCGUGGGGAGCAAACAGGAUUAGAUACCCUGGUA
Molecule: ribosomal RNA, 437 nt
Filed under: uncultured Oscillospiraceae bacterium
Lineage: Bacteria; Bacillati; Bacillota; Clostridia; Eubacteriales; Oscillospiraceae
Description: partial 16S ribosomal RNA
Rfam family: Bacterial small subunit ribosomal RNA
Source: RNAcentral